ACAAGGACUCAGUCAAACGAUGUCAGACCAGACACCCUAAUUUAGGCCGAAGGGGUGAACUUGGUGGCAUAGGCGAAGGCGUUAACAGCGCUGGGGUUGGCGAGGUGGUCAGACAGGUUCUCGAUGGGGCCCUUGCCGGUCACAAUAGCCUGCACGAAGAAGCCGAACAUGGAGAACAUGGCCAGGCGGCCGUUCUUGAUCUCCUUGACCUUGAGCUCGGCGAAGGUGUCCGGGUCGUCAGCCAGGCCCAGCGGGUCGAAGGCGCCACCGGGGUGCAGCGGGUCCAGGCCCUCACCCAGCGGGCCGCCGUUGGCGCGGUAGGCCUCAGCCAGGCCCAUCACGACAACCUGGAGCAUAACAUGGCGUGAGGAGGAAAAACCAUCCGGAGGCUUUCAAUGCAGGGGUUGCGAGCUAAGUGAGAACAAUUUGGCGCGAGAUCUCGCUGGUAUCACAUUAGCAUGAUAUAAUACACGCGCGUGCUAGCCUCGCCGAGGAAUAGGUACAUGGGGACGCCUGGCGGCAUGCAACGACGUCCAAAGUACCAAAAAAAUCUCCCUAUCCACUGGCAAUUUCGUAAGCUAGCACAGCCCACAAAACUUUAAAGCUUCAGAUCCAUCCACGUUACGCAAAUACCUGGAAGGCCAGGGUGGCAAUGAUGGACUGCGCGUGCACCAGGUUCUCAUUGCCCAGGUAGUUCAGGCCACCCUCAGCGAAGAUCUGGGCGCCGGCCUUGAACCAGACAGCCUCGCCGAACGAGACACCCGCGUACUUGGACAGCAGCUCGGGGGUCACGCAGCCCAGAGCGCCCAACAUGGCCCAGCGCGCAUGGAUGAGCUCCAGCUCGCGGUAGCGCUUGAAGGUCUCCGGGUCAGCGGACAGGCCGGCAGUGUCCCAGCCGUAGUCGCCGGGGAACUCGCCA
RNAcentral lists this long non-coding RNA (919 nucleotides) under Volvox carteri. RNAcentral describes it as "long non-coding RNA (VCAR_LNC000805)". The record is from RNAcentral. Lineage: Eukaryota; Viridiplantae; Chlorophyta; Chlorophyceae; Chlamydomonadales; Volvocaceae.